GGAUGGUCUGAGACCCUGGAAACAGGCAGGGUGUGACCAACAAGGAUGUCAGCUCUGGAUGCCACUCUCCGUUAUCAGAGAGCUCAGAGAGGGUGCCUGCAGGAGGCCGAGCUCCAGAAUUUGUGGGGCAAAGUCCUGGGCCUGAGGAAGUUGUACCGAGAGUUUCCAGGAAGACAACUCUAGGCCCUGAGGGCUUCCUGGUGACUUCCACAAAACAGAUAAGAAGAGAGAACACCAAUUCUAAACAAACUCCUCCAAAAAAGUACAACAGAAGAGCCACUUCCCAGUUCAUUUGACUCAGCAGCAUUUCCCUGACACCAAAGCCAGCAAGACAUUUCCAGGAAAUCUACAGGACUUACUCUCAUGAAUAUAGAUGAAAAUGCCUUACAAAAUAGGAGUAGACUGAAUCAUCAAUGAAUAAGUGGUGUAAUACAUUGAUUUAAUAUUCAAAUUAAAUUCAUGGAAUUCAUCAUGUUAACAGGCUUAUAAUGACAAACCAUAAGAUCAUCUCAAUAGAGACAGAAAAAAAUUUGACAAAAUUAAACAUUCAUUCAAAAAAAAGACCUUUCAGCAAACAAGCAAUAGAAAGAAAUUUCCUCAAUCUAGUGAGGAGCCUUUAGGAAGACCAUGGCUGAUCUCAUGCAUGAUGAUGAAGGAUGAGGAUGAUGAGGGAUGGAGAUGAUGAGGGAUGGAGAUGAUGAGGGAUGGAGGUGAUGAGGGAUGGAGGUGAUGAAGGAUGGAGAUGAUGAGGGAUGGAGAUGAUGAGGGAUGGAGUGCUCUCCUGAGAUGGAGAAUAAGCCCUGGUGCCUGGCCUCCCCCUCCUGCAGAAUGUGAGAGGUCCAGUCUGCACAGUGAAGCAAGGAGAGAAAAAGAGGACGCCAGCCCACACAUCAGACAAUGUGAUUGUCUAUGUAGGAAAUCCCAAGGAAUUUGGGAAAAAUCUCUAAAAGAAAUGGUGAGUUCAGGUUUGCAGGAUAGGCAGUCAAUUCACAGAAAUAAGUU
This 1002-nucleotide long non-coding RNA is filed under the name Equus caballus (horse). RNAcentral's name for it is "lncRNA (ENSECAG00000053028.1)". Lineage: Eukaryota; Metazoa; Chordata; Mammalia; Perissodactyla; Equidae. The record is from RNAcentral.